Long non-coding RNA from Solanum stenotomum, 619 nucleotides. RefSeq lists it as uncharacterized. The transcript has 3 exons. NCBI's taxonomy places the organism in Eukaryota, Viridiplantae, Streptophyta, Magnoliopsida, Solanales, Solanaceae. The record is from RefSeq and is a predicted model, not a curated record.
GCCAUCUCACAUUUGCUUGCCCUCCUUCGUACUUUGUCAUCUCAUUUUGGCAUUGCUGGUCAUUGUUAAUCCUUUCUGGCGCAGAGGAAUUUUGCAGACAUCUCCUAUGGUGGUUAUGAAGGGAGACUUGGCGAGAGGCCAAACAUCAAGGCUUUAGUCAGCAGAAUAAGAGAACAGGCUUCACAUCAUCAUUCUUGCUAUACUUGCCAAUCUUGAGGAAAAGGCAAAAGAAGCAAAUAGCAGCAGAGAAAUUAAGGAUAAUAACACAAGCAUUAGAACAAGCUGAGGGCAGAGUUUUAAGAUAUGAAGAAAGACACGAUAACAUACUUAAUCAAAUAUGUUCACAUUACAUUGUAAUUCAAGAAAUAGUAGAAGCACUUACUGGUGCUCGAGAAGCAAUGAAUGGAGCAUUAGAAUUUGCAAUUACUCUCAGAAAUUUGCAGCUACAAGUUAUCAGAUUGUACCCUGAUGAUUAUGAAAGUGCUUCAAGGCAUGUUUGGUUAAUUGGAAAAUCAAGAAGACAAAGGAACAAUAAUAAUUAGCAUAGAUCAAGCUAUACGUUCUUUUUUGUAUUUGUUGAUUACUAAAUGGAUACUAUUUCCUUGCAAUGAUCCUUCUC